AGUGAACGCUGGCGGUAGGCCUAACACAUGCAAGUCGAACGGCAGCACAGUAAGAGCUUGCUCUUACGGGUGGCGAGUGGCGGACGGGUGAGGGAUACAUCGGAAUCUACUUUUUCGUGGGGGAUAACGUAGGGAAACUUACGCUAAUACCGCAUACGACCUACGGGUGAAAGCAGGGGAUCUUCGGACCUUGCGCGAUUGAGUGAGCCGAUGUCGGAUUAGCUAGUUGGCGGGGUAAAGGCCCACCAAGGCGACGAUCCGUAGCUGGUCUGAGAGGAUGAUCAGCCACACUGGAACUGAGACACGGUCCAGACUCCUACGGGAGGCAGCAGUGGGGAAUAUUGGACAAUGGGCGCAAGCCUGAUCCAGCCAUACCGCGUGGGUGAAGAAGGCCUUCGGGUUGUAAAGCCCUUUUGUUGGGAAAGAAAAGCAGCAGGUUAAUACCCCGCUGUUCUGACGGUACCCAAAGAAUAAGCACCGGCUAACUUCGUG
Molecule: ribosomal RNA, 492 nt
Filed under: uncultured bacterium
Lineage: Bacteria
Description: partial 16S ribosomal RNA
Rfam family: Bacterial small subunit ribosomal RNA
Source: RNAcentral